Molecule: unclassified non-coding RNA, 1003 nt
Filed under: uncultured eukaryote
Lineage: Eukaryota
Description: partial contains 18S rRNA, ITS1, 5.8S rRNA, ITS2 and 28S rRNA
Rfam family: Eukaryotic large subunit ribosomal RNA (bases 756-1003)
Source: RNAcentral
AGAGUCAGACCAUUUAAACACACGUCUGUUUUGAACAUGUCACCGAUCGUGUGUUNCUGCAAUCCCGUGGAGCGGUUGUCAUUCCCAUGAGUUGUACCUGGAGGAGAUGUCGCUAUCGAUCCAGNCCGGACGCGUGCAUUUAACAAAGAACUUUUUGUUGUUGUUCUUUUUCGUGGCAGCUGAUGUGUUGGUGUAUGUGGCACUGAUCUCCCCGUAGAAAGGGAGGGGAUGUUCCCGUCCUUUUUUUUUUUCAAACAAAAAAGAAAGGACAAACACAACUCUUUUGACAUAAUCUUCUUUCUUCAAGGGAAGUUGGUUGUUGGACUGAGUACAAAGACAAAAAAAAACAACUUUUAACAAUGGAUCUCUUGGUUCUCGCAACGAUGAAGAACGCAGCGAAAUGCGAUAGGUAAUGUGAAUUUGCAGAAUUUCCGUGAAUCAUCAAAUCUUUGAACGCAAAUUGCGCUUCUGGGUUUUCCCAGGAGCACACCUGUCUGAGUAUCAUUUAAUUAUUCUCAAAAAAGAAUAAACAACUUGUUUUUCUUUUUUUUGGAGCGUGAAGGUUGAGAUACGGAGUCUCAUCCUUUGAAAUGAAGGGAAAGAUAUAAAAACCGGAUCGCCGUUGUUGAAAUAUCAGCACGAUGCGUUAAAUUGAUUUUUUACACAUCGGUUAGCAAUAGGAUAUUUUGUAUACGGAGGAUUGAAAAUGAAGACGGUUUUUGUUAUUCAAAAAAAAAUUUUUUUUUGAAGUGUGAUGAUCUCAGAUCAGGUGAGACUACCCGCUGAACUUAAGCAUAUCAUAAGCGGAGGAACAGAAACUAACAAGGAUUCCCCUAGUAACGGCGAGUGAAGAGGGAAACAGCUCAAAUUUGAACAUCUGGGAGCAAUCCCCGAAUUGUACGUUUAGAGAAGCGUUUCGGUGAUGGACUGGGUACAAAGUUCUUUGGACCAAGACAUCACAGAGGGUGAGAAUCCCGUUUGUCGAUCCGGAUCCCGUCACCAU